RNAcentral lists this long non-coding RNA (342 nucleotides) under Salvia miltiorrhiza (redroot sage). RNAcentral's name for it is "long non-coding RNA (SMIL_LNC003849)". Lineage: Eukaryota; Viridiplantae; Streptophyta; Magnoliopsida; Lamiales; Lamiaceae. The record is from RNAcentral.
AUUAACUAAAUUGACUGUUAAUGCUCAAAUUACCUUCAAUAGAAGACAAAAAUUAUAACAAACCAAUAACAACAGAAAAAUUAGAACCAGCGAAUCACAAAUUAUAAUCACAUUUUCCACUGAAAAUGUUGCGGAACUUGAAGCUUAGCUUAGCUGCAGUAAUGGAAUCGAUCACCAUGAGACUAUCCUUUAUCGCCUUCGCCAAUUCCUGUGGUGUCUUAGGCCUCGACUGCUUGAAGAACGAGAACGACGUUAUGAUGAUUCAUGAAAUCACGAAAUAGUACUUCGAUAAUCGAAGAGAAAAACGACAUUGUGAUGAUUCAGUCGUUGGCGAUGGCGACG